This 375-nucleotide ribosomal RNA is filed under the name uncultured organism. RNAcentral describes it as "partial 16S ribosomal RNA". It matches the Rfam family "Bacterial small subunit ribosomal RNA", at positions 527 to 896 of the family's 1533-position model. The record is from RNAcentral.
GUAGGUGGCAAGCGUUGUCCGGAAUUAUUGGGCGUAAAGCGCGCGCAGGCGGUUCCUUAAGUCUGAUGUGAAAGCCCACGGCUCAACCGUGGAGGGUCAUUGGAAACUGGAGAACUUGAGUACAGAAGAGGAAAGCGGAAUUCCACGUGUAGCGGUGAAAUGCGUAGAGAUGUGGAGGAACACCAGUGGCGAAGGCGGCUUUCUGGUCUGUAACUGACGCUGAGGCGCGAAAGCGUGGGGAGCAAACAGGGAUUAGAUACCCUGGUAGUCCACGCCGUAAACGAUGAGUGCUAAGUGUUAGGGGGGGUUUCCGCCCCCUUAGUGCUGCAGCUAACGCAUUAAGCACUCCGCCUGGGGAGUACGGCCGCAAGGCUG